AGCGCAGGCGGAUUGGCAAGUUGGGAGUGGAAUCUAUGGGCUCAACCCAUAAAUUGCUUUCAAAACUGUCAGUCUUGAGUGGUGUAGAGGCCGGCGGAAUUCCUGGUGUAGCGGUGGAAUGCGUAGAUAUCAGGAAGAACACCGAUGGCGAAGGCAGCCGGCUGGGGACUUACUGACGCUGAGGCUCGAAAGCGCGGGUAGCAAACA
This 207-nucleotide ribosomal RNA is filed under the name uncultured bacterium. Its description in RNAcentral is "partial 16S ribosomal RNA". It matches the Rfam family "Bacterial small subunit ribosomal RNA", at positions 568 to 774 of the family's 1533-position model. The record is from RNAcentral.